This is a long non-coding RNA of Zalophus californianus (California sea lion), 617 nucleotides long. RefSeq lists it as uncharacterized. Lineage: Eukaryota; Metazoa; Chordata; Mammalia; Carnivora; Otariidae. The record is from RefSeq and is a predicted model, not a curated record. The transcript has 3 exons.
UCAAAGCUAAUUUUUUAAGUAUUAUAGUCAGGAAUCUUAGUCAUAUAAAGACAUUUUGUACAAUACUUAUUAAAAGCCCAGAUUCGUUGCUGUUUGUUUAGCACCCCCUUCAGAAUUGAUGGCUGAUGGUUUAUGCUUCUGAGAGCUUCCAGAACAAGACCAGAGAGAUUUUCUGAAUCCCCCUGUGGCUGUUUUUAAUUCCAUUACAGCUUGUCCUCGUGUAUUAACAAGGUAAUCUUGUCUUUCCCUUACUUUACUGCUCCGACCUUUCAGGGAAAAUGUGAUUUUAAAAUUGGACACCAUCCCAAGAUGAUGCCAGGAGGACAGAGGAUGUUAUUCUUGCAAGCAGCAUAGUUCCAAAGAGGCAACCCAAGGAAGUGUCAACAUUAGGCUCACAAUGACCGCCCCCCCCCCCCGCCGACCGCAGUGGCCCUCCUUUUGUGUGGCAGCAGAAUUAGAGCAGCGCUUCCAUGCAUCACCUCCUAACAUUCCUCCACCCACAAGAAAGGACACUGACUGCAUCAAGACCACUUUCUUAGAAGAAGAGCAGGACCUGUGGGCUACUCAGAAAGGACUUGUCAAUUUUAUGUGUUCGGAGACUGGAUCACAGAGUGCCC